UCCCUGGUGGUCCAGUGGCUAGGACUCUGCGCUUCCAGCUCAGGGGGCCUGGGUUCAAUUCCUGUUCAGGGAA
Molecule: transfer RNA, 73 nt
Filed under: Bos taurus (domestic cattle)
Lineage: Eukaryota; Metazoa; Chordata; Mammalia; Artiodactyla; Bovidae
Also listed under: 2 other names
Rfam family: tRNA
About the family: Transfer RNA (tRNA) molecules are approximately 80 nucleotides in length. Their secondary structure includes four short double-helical elements and three loops (D, anti-codon, and T loops).
Source: Rfam by way of RNAcentral